CCUACGGGUGGCAGCAGUGGGGGAUAUUGCACAAUGGGGGGAACCCUGAUGCAGCGACGCCGCGUGGGUGAAGGAGCGUUUCGGCGCGUAAAGCCCUAUCGGCAGGGAAGAAGAUGACGGUACCUGACCAAGAAGCCCCGGCUAACUACGUGCCAGCAGCCGCGGUAAUACGUAGGGGGCAAGCGUUAUUCGGAUUUACUGGGUGUUAAGGGGGCGCUGACGGGAUUGCAAGCCAGGAGUGAAAGACCGGGGCCCAAACCCGGGACUGCUGUUGGAACUGCAUGGCUGGAGUACAGGAGGGGCAGGCGGAAUUCCUGGUGUAGCGGUGAAAUGCGUAGAUAUUAGGCGGAACACCGGUGGCGAAGGCGGCUUACUGGACUGUAACUGACGUUGAGGCUCGAAAGCGUGGGGAGCAAACAGGAUUAGAUACCCGGGUAGUC
This 440-nucleotide ribosomal RNA is filed under the name uncultured bacterium. Its description in RNAcentral is "partial 16S ribosomal RNA". It matches the Rfam family "Bacterial small subunit ribosomal RNA", at positions 338 to 795 of the family's 1533-position model. The record is from RNAcentral.